This 74-nucleotide transfer RNA is filed under the name Minisyncoccota bacterium. RNAcentral's name for it is "tRNA-Lys". It matches the Rfam family "tRNA". Rfam says of the family: Transfer RNA (tRNA) molecules are approximately 80 nucleotides in length. Their secondary structure includes four short double-helical elements and three loops (D, anti-codon, and T loops). Lineage: Bacteria; Bacillati; Minisyncoccota. The record is from RNAcentral.
GCCCCCGUAGCUCAAUUUGGUAGAGCAGCUUCCUUUUAAGAAGACGGUUCCCUGUUCGAGUCAGGGCGGGGGCA